RNAcentral lists this ribosomal RNA (797 nucleotides) under uncultured Sphaerochaeta sp. RNAcentral's name for it is "bacterial SSU rRNA". It matches the Rfam family "Bacterial small subunit ribosomal RNA", at positions 8 to 795 of the family's 1533-position model. Lineage: Bacteria; Pseudomonadati; Spirochaetota; Spirochaetia; Spirochaetales; Sphaerochaetaceae. The record is from RNAcentral.
AGAGUUUGAUUAUGGCUCAGAACGAACGCUGGCGGCGCGUUUUAAGCAUGCAAGUCGAGCGGCAAGGGUCUUCGGGCCCCUAGAGCGGCGGACGGGUGAGUAACACGUGGACAAUCUGCCCCCCGGCCGGGGAUAGCCCAGGGAAACCUGGAUUAAUACCGGAUGAGACGGGACCCGCGGAGGCGGGAUCCGGGAAAGGCGCUGCGGCGCCGCCGGGGGAUGAGUCUGCGUCCCAUUAGCUUGACGGCGGGGUAACGGCCCACCGUGGCGACGAUGGGUAGCCGGCCUGAGAGGGUGGACGGCCACAUUGGAACUGAGACACGGUCCAGACUCCUACGGGAGGCAGCAGCUAAGAAUCUUCCGCAAUGGGCGAAAGCCUGACGGAGCGACGCCGCGUGAACGAAGAAGGCCGUGAGGUUGUAAAAUUCUUUUCGGGAGGGAGAACAACCGUGGCAGGGAAUGGCCGCGGGAUGACGUGAAUCCCGGAAUAAGCCCCGGCUAACUACGUGCCAGCAGCCGCGGUAACACGUAGGGGGCGAGCGUUGUUCGGAAUCAUUGGGCGUAAAGGGCGUGCAGGCGGUCCUGCAAGUCCGGCGUGAAAGACCCCGGCCCAACCGGGGGGGCGCGCUGGAAACUGCAGGGCUUGAGUACAGGAGGGGAUGCCGGAAUUCCAGGUGUAGGGGUGAAAUCUGUAGAUAUCUGGAGGAACACCAAUGGCGAAGGCAGGCAUCUGGCCAUGUACUGACGCUGAGACGCGAAGGUGCGGGGAGCAAGCAGGAUUAGAUACCCUGGUAGUC